UGUGCACAAGGCCCUGGAUUUGAUCACCAGCAGCACAGAAAAAUUAGGUUGGAAUAAUACAGAGACCAGCAUGGCCCCUGUGCAAGGACAACACGCAAAUCUGUAAAGCUUUCCAUACUUUG
Small nuclear RNA from Marmota marmota marmota (Alpine marmot), 122 nucleotides. Lineage: Eukaryota; Metazoa; Chordata; Mammalia; Rodentia; Sciuridae. The record is from Ensembl.